This 440-nucleotide ribosomal RNA is filed under the name uncultured bacterium. Its description in RNAcentral is "partial 16S ribosomal RNA". It matches the Rfam family "Bacterial small subunit ribosomal RNA", at positions 338 to 795 of the family's 1533-position model. The record is from RNAcentral.
CCUACGGGAGGCAGCAGUGGGGGAUAUUGCACAAUGGGGGAAACCCUGAUGCAGCGACGCCGCGUGAGUGAAGAAGUAAUUCGUUAUGUAAAGCUCUAUCAGCAGGGAAGAAAAUGACGGUACCUGAGUAAGAAGCCCCGGCUAACUACGUGGCAGCGGCCGCGGUAAUACGUAGGGGGCAAGCGUUAUCCGGCUUUACUGGGUGGAAAGGGAGCGUAGACGGCAGUGCAAGUCUGGAGUGAAAGGCGGGGGCUCAACCCCCGGACUGCUCUGGAAACUGUACGGCUGGAGUGCAGGAGAGGUAAGUGGAAUUCCUAGUGUAGCGGGGAAAUGCGUAGAUAUUAGGAGGAACACCAGUGGCGAAGGCGGCUUACUGGACUGUAACUGACGUUGAGGCUCGAAAGCGUGGGGAGCAAACAGGAUUAGAUACCCUUGUAGUC